GAUUAUGGCUCAGGAUGAACGCUAGCGACAGGCUUAACACAUGCAAGUCGAGGGGCAGCAUAAAAGUAGCAAUACUUGGUGGCGACCGGCGCACGGGUGAGUAACGCGUAUGCAACCUACCUAUCAGAGGGGAAUAACCCGGCGAAAGUCGGACUAAUACCGCAUAAAACAGGGGCACCGCAUGGUGAUAUUUGUUAAAGAAAUUCGCUGAUAGAUGGGCAUGCGUUCCAUUAGGUAGUUGGUGAGGUAACGGCUCACCAAGCCGACGAUGGAUAGGGGAACUGAGAGGUUGGUCCCCCACACUGGUACUGAGACACGGACCAGACUCCUACGGGAGGCAGCAGUGAGGAAUAUUGGUCAAUGGGCGAGAGCCUGAACCAGCCAAGUCGCGUGAAGGAAGAAGGAUCUAUGGUUCGUAAACUUCUUUUGCAGGGGAAUAAAGUGCAGGACGUGUCCUGUUUUGUAUGUACCCUGAGAAUAAGGAUCGGCUAACUCCGUGCCAGCCGCCGC
This 510-nucleotide ribosomal RNA is filed under the name uncultured bacterium. RNAcentral's name for it is "bacterial SSU rRNA". It matches the Rfam family "Bacterial small subunit ribosomal RNA", at positions 15 to 518 of the family's 1533-position model. The record is from RNAcentral.